UCGGCGUCUUCGGUCAAUGUUUGGCGUCUUCCAGCUGUGGAUUAUGUUUUUCCGCCAUAUAUUAUUGAAAACAGACAUGCUCUUUACAGAAAAGAAUUGCCAGCUCCUUCUUAUUGGGUUGAUGCUCAACCCUUUCAAGCCACUGUCUUGAUUUUAAUACUUCUAACAUGUAUUGUGGGUUGUGGCAUGAUGUGGUGUUUGGAAAAGGUCAAGAUCAAUCCAGAUCUCAUACAGCAACAUGGAGAUAAACCCGACACAAUACACGUAAUCGUGUUCUAUGUGAUAGGAAUUGCUCUUAGUCAAGGUAUUACAAUGAGGGCCUAUUCACACAGAAGCCGAAUCUUUAUCGCCGCUUUUUGGAGUUUAAGUGUCGUGAUCGGGUCCAUUUACAGAGCUAAUUUCGUGGCUAUAUUAACGGCCUCUAAAACGGUUGCACCAUUCAACACUCCAGAAGAAAUGAUAAACAGCAGUUACACAUUGGGUGCAAUUGCAAAUACUUCUAUGUUACAGAGUCUUAAGAAUGAAAAAGUACCAAUCUAUAGAAAGAUAUACCAAAAACUGAUCAACGAUGGAUAUUUGACUAAAGAACGUGACACACAACUACGAAAGAUUUUACAGGGAAAUCACGUGUUCUUCACGGAAUCGACUUCCACUGCCGAGUUUUAUUCUCAAAACUGUGAUGUUGUACGCUUUGAAUUCGAUCUGUAUACAGUCAUGUACGCCCUUGCUACACCAAAAAUAUCGCCCAUACGACAUGACCUAGAACGAGUCAUGAGGCAUCUGGAUGAAUCUGGAAUACUAAACAUGUUAUUCAAGAAAUGGCUGCCUCAUCGAAAGGAGGGGUUUUGUGAUGACCGCAUGAAGACAAAGCAACUCCAGUUUACUGAUAUUUAUGGGGUUUUGAUUUUGCUAAGUUGUUGUGUGGUCGUCUGUUGCCUUGUAUUGUGUAUGGAAAGAUUGGGAUUUACUGUUAUGAAAGCUAGAUCACGAACAACAAGACGAUAAAAUCAGUAUCGAAUCUGGAUUCCAGAGAUUACCUUACCUUUCGUUCAUCUCUGGUAACCGCUUGCUUCUUUGGUCAUCCCCUAUACUUCAGUGGACGAGGGCGUUCGGCAAAACCAAGGCCCUACGUACACGUUAUAAUACCAUUGCCAGUUAGAAGCCCUUCAUAGCACACUGCACGCCAUAUGCUUUAUAAGUGCUUUAUCGACUGUGUUAAUUGAACGAAUUUUAAUAAAAUAUAGAUAAAUAUUUAGAGGCGACUUCAGCGGAACAGUAUAAUUAUUCAAUUGUGUUACAUUCUGUUAAUUGAGCAAACAUUUACCACCAAUUGCCACUGCCAUCUAUUGAACACAAACAGUAGGUUUAAAUUUUUCG
Long non-coding RNA from Patella vulgata (common limpet), 1377 nucleotides. RefSeq lists it as uncharacterized. The record is from RefSeq and is a predicted model, not a curated record. The transcript is spliced from 4 exons. NCBI's taxonomy places the organism in Eukaryota, Metazoa, Mollusca, Gastropoda, Patellidae.